Molecule: ribosomal RNA, 465 nt
Filed under: uncultured bacterium
Lineage: Bacteria
Description: partial 16S ribosomal RNA
Rfam family: Bacterial small subunit ribosomal RNA
Source: RNAcentral
GACGAACGCUGGCGGCACGCUUAACACAUGCAAGUCGAACGAGAGAAGAGAAGCUUGCUUUUCUGAUCUAGUGGCGGACGGGUGAGUAACACGUGAGCAAUCUGCCUUUCAGAGGGGGAUACCGAUUGGAAACGAUCGUUAAUACCGCAUAACAUAAUUGAACCGCAUGAUUUGAUUAUCAAAGAUUUAUCGCUGAAAGAUGAGCUCGCGUCUGAUUAGCUAGUUGGUAAGGUAACGGCUUACCAAGGCGACGAUCAGUAGCCGGACUGAGAGGUUGAUCGGCCACAUUGGGACGGAGACACGGCCCAGACUCCUACGGGAGGCAGCAGUGGGGAAAAUUGCACAAUGGAGGAAACUCUGAUGCAGCGAUGCCGCGUGAGGGAAGAAGGUUUUAGGAUUGUAAACCUCUGUCUUCAGGGACGAAAAAAGACGGUACCUGAGGAGGAAGCUCCGGCUAACUACGUG